This 500-nucleotide ribosomal RNA is filed under the name uncultured bacterium. RNAcentral describes it as "partial 16S ribosomal RNA". It matches the Rfam family "Bacterial small subunit ribosomal RNA", at positions 30 to 523 of the family's 1533-position model. The record is from RNAcentral.
AUUGAACGCUGGCGGCAGGCUUAACACAUGCACGUCGAGCGGUAGAGAGAAGCUUGCUUCUCUUGAGAGCGGCGGACGGGUGAGUAAUGCCUAGGAAUCUGCCUGGUAGUGGGGGAUAACGUUCGGAAACGGACGCUAAUCCUGCGUCCGUCCUACGGGAGAAAGCAGGGGGCCUUAGGGCCUUGCGCUAUCAGAUGAGCCUAGGUCGGAUUAGCUAGUGGGGGGGGUAAUGGCUCACCAAGGCGACGAUCCGUUACUGGUCUGAGAGGAUGAUCAGUCACACUGGAACUGAGACACGGUCCAGACUCCUACGGGAGGCAGCAGUGGGGAAUAUUGGACAAUGGGCGAAAGCCUGAUCCAGCCAUGCCGCGUGUGUGAAGAAGGUCUUCGGAUUGUAAAGCACUUUAAGUUGGGAGGAAGGGUUGUAGAUUAAUACUCUGCAAUUUUGGCGUUACCGACAGAACAAGCACCGGCUAACUCUGUGCCAGCCGCCGCAGUAA